Molecule: long non-coding RNA, 325 nt
Organism: Solanum lycopersicum (tomato)
Lineage: Eukaryota; Viridiplantae; Streptophyta; Magnoliopsida; Solanales; Solanaceae
Source: RefSeq, a predicted model, not a curated record
AAGAAAUUGAUUCAUCUUCCUUCUAUCCUGCACUAUCUCACCGGAUGUUAUCUUCAUUCUCCUCUCAGUAGUGAUUGAUUGAAAAAACAUUGCCAUAUUUGAUGAGAGAAGAGAAAAAGUUAACAAAGAAGUAUGGAUGCAAUGCUCUGAAUGUCUGUCCACAAGAGUGAUCUUCAAAUUUCAAUAAUGAUCACACCAGUUUGUUGAAGGAGACACGCUAUGAGUAAUUUGAACAAAUCACGUAUGCAUACAAAUCCAGCUAAUAGCAGUUCAGGUUCUCAGCAUCCAGAUCACGCAUAGAUCGAUUUCUCAAUCUCCAGUUCAG